RNAcentral lists this ribosomal RNA (497 nucleotides) under uncultured bacterium. RNAcentral describes it as "partial 16S ribosomal RNA". It matches the Rfam family "Bacterial small subunit ribosomal RNA", at positions 28 to 507 of the family's 1533-position model. The record is from RNAcentral.
GAUGAACGCUGGCGGCGUGCCUAAUACAUGCAAGUCGAGCGGACGGACGAUAAUCGUGCUGCUCUCGUGUUGGGGACGGACGGGUGAGUAACAGGUGGAUAGCCUUCCUAUAAGACUUAGAUAAGUGCGAGAAACCGUAGUUAAGGCCGGAUAAUAUUUUGAACGUCAUGGUUGAAAAGUGAAAUACGGUCUUGCUGUCACUUAUGGAUGGAUCCUCGCUGGAUUAGUUAGGUGGUAAGAUAACGGCUUACGAAGGCAGCGAUGCAUGGCCGAACUGAGAGGGUGAUGGGGGACUGUGGAGCUGAGCCACGGUACAGACUCCUACGGGAGGCAGCAGUAGGGACUCUUCGGAGAUGGGCGAAAGACUGAAGGAGCAACGCCGCGCGAGUGCUGAAGGUCUUCGGAUCGUAAAACUGUGUUAUUAUGGAAGAACAUAUGUGCAAGGAACUGUGCACAUCUUGACGGUACCUAGUCAGAAAGCAACGGCUAACUACGUG